GAAUAUUGGACAAUGGGGGGAACCCUGAUCCAGCCAUGCCGCGUGUGUGAAGAAGGCCUUUUGGUUGUAAAGCACUUUAAGCGCGGAGGAGGCUACUCUAGUUACUACCUAGAGAUAGUGGACGUUACUCGCAGAAUAAGCACCGGCUACCUCUGUGCACUCCGCCGCGGGAAUCCAGAGGGUGCAAGCGUUAAUCGGAUUUAAUGGGCGUAAAGCGCGCGUAGGGGGGCAAAUAAGGAAAAUGUGGAAUCCCCGAGCGUCACUUGGGAAUUGGAUUCGGUACUGGGUUGGUAAAGUAUGGGGGAGGAUGGUAGAAUUCCCGGGGGAGGCGUGAAAAGCGGAGAGGUCUGGAAGAAAACCCAAGGCGAAGGGAGCCAUCCGGGCUAAUACCGACACCUAAGUGCGGAAGCAUGGGGAGCAAACA
This 424-nucleotide ribosomal RNA is filed under the name uncultured bacterium. Its description in RNAcentral is "partial 16S ribosomal RNA". It matches the Rfam family "Bacterial small subunit ribosomal RNA", at positions 359 to 774 of the family's 1533-position model. The record is from RNAcentral.